CGUGAGACAGUUUGGUCCAUAUCCGGUGUAGGCGUUAGAGCAUUGAGAGUAGCCUUUCAUAGUACGAGAGGACCUGAAAGGACAUGCCAAUUGUGUACCAGUUCUCAUUCCAAUGGGAAACGCUGGGUAGCUACGCAUGGAUAGAUAACUGCUGAAAGCAUCUAAGUAGGAAGCUAAACUCAAGAUGAGUGCUCUCUAAGGCCGCGGCUAGACAAGCCGUUAUAUAGGUAUCAGGUGUACAGUCAGCAAUGGCUUUAGCCGAGAUAUACUAAAGGCCGUUUGAUUUUGACCUU
Molecule: ribosomal RNA, 293 nt
Filed under: Chlamydomonas reinhardtii
Lineage: Eukaryota; Viridiplantae; Chlorophyta; Chlorophyceae; Chlamydomonadales; Chlamydomonadaceae
Rfam family: Bacterial large subunit ribosomal RNA
Source: RNAcentral